AGCGAACGCUGGCGGCAGGCCUAACACAUGCAAGUCGAACGAACUCUUCGGAGUUAGUGGCGGACGGGUGAGUAACACGUGGGAACGUGCCUUUAGGUUCGGAAUAACUCAGGGAAACUUGUGCUAAUACCGAAUGUGCCCUUCGGGGGAAAGAUUUAUCGCCUUUAGAGCGGCCCGCGUCUGAUUAGCUAGUUGGUGAGGUAAAGGCUCACCAAGGCGACGAUCAGUAGCUGGUCUGAGAGGAUGAUCAGCCACAUUGGGACUGAGACACGGCCCAAACUCCUACGGGAGGCAGCAGUGGGGAAUCUUGCGCAAUGGGCGAAAGCCUGACGCAGCCAUGCCGCGUGAAUGAUGAAGGUCUUAGGAUUGUAAAAUUCUUUCACCGGGGACGAUAAUGACGGGACCCGGAGAAGAAGCCCCGGCUAACUUCG
Molecule: ribosomal RNA, 431 nt
Filed under: uncultured bacterium
Lineage: Bacteria
Description: partial 16S ribosomal RNA
Rfam family: Bacterial small subunit ribosomal RNA
Source: RNAcentral